CCUACGGGAGGCAGCAGUGGGGAAUAUUGCACAAUGGGGGAAACCCUGAUGCAGCGACGCCGCGUGAGUGAAGAAGUAAUUCGUUAUGUAAAGCUCUAUCAGCAGGGAAGAAAAUGACGGUACCUGAGUAAGAAGCCCCGGCUAACUACGUGCCAGCAGCCGCGGUCAUACGUAGGGGGCAAGCGUUAUCCGGAUUUACUGGGUGUAAAGGGAGCGUAGACGGCAGGGCAAGUCUGGAGGUAAAGGCGGGGGCUCAACCCCCGGACUGCUCUGGAAACUGUAAGGCUGGAGUGCAGGAGAGGUAAGUGGAAUUCCUAGUGUAGCGGUGAAAUGCGUAGAUAUUAGGAGGAACACCAGUGGCGAAGGCGGCUUACUGGACUGUAACUGACGUUGAGGCUCGAAAGCGUGGGGAGCAAACAGGAUUAGAUACCCCUGUAGUC
Molecule: ribosomal RNA, 440 nt
Filed under: uncultured bacterium
Lineage: Bacteria
Description: partial 16S ribosomal RNA
Rfam family: Bacterial small subunit ribosomal RNA
Source: RNAcentral